UAGGUAUUCUAAAUGAGCCGAAAAAAACGUACUGCGCGCAAAAAAAUUUGGUCGGGUUGCGCCAACGCUCGGAGAUCCGAUACCAUAAUACAUACGAUUUCACUGAAAACUAAUAUAGAAAGUAGAAUGGACGCCCUUUAAGAUGAUAUGACUUUGCCCGCUGUAAAAUAUAAUUUAAUGCUAAAAAUAAUAGAUUUAAAAGUUUCAAAUGAUUUUUUUACACGAAAAAAAUAUUUUACAGCCGGCAAAAUUAUAUAUUCAAAUCGGGCGUCCAAUUUACUAUAAAAAUGUUAUAAUUUAAUUAACACUUUAUGUAUGGUAUCGGAUCGCAGAAAUAAAAACGAACGCAUACGUAUCGUGAUGACCCGCGCUAACUUUUGCCGGCUUAAAUCUAGUUUUGCGUAAUGUCACGGAACACCCCGCUCAAGUUCAAAGCAGGAUUUUGUGUUUAUUCGCGGAUUACCAUGGAUUUUAAACAAUGUCUAGAGCAAGAUAUUAGCAAAAGAAAGGGGAAACUGAAAGGCCUGUCAAAAAUGUGUAUUGUUUGUGUAAGCACCAACAGGACUACUGAAUACUUUUGAAGGAAACCAUAUGUCAGAUACAUUUUCUAUACUCUGGACCAAUGGAAAGAUCCCUUACUAGUUUCCAUAAUUUGAUGUGUGAUGCCAGUUCACAAUAAUUUAUUACAAUGCUACUCCAAACCUUGAAGAAGAAGACUAACUCAACCAAGAUAUUGACUAUUAAUUACAAUGCUACCCAACCUCAUAGAGAACUUUCCCAAUCAGGAUAUUGACCUGUCUUUUUGAACCUGCUCUAAGAUUUCUGAUAAUUGUAUAAGUUAGGACCUAGACAUUUCCAGAAGUUGACAUUGAUCAAUAACUAACUAGAAGAAAUAAAUUUACUGAUAACAAGUAAAUUUAGGCUAAGCAUGUCAUGAUUAGGGAGCAGAGUAACAAAACUAGAUGAACAUCACAAAGCUAACAGUUAGGAUCAUUUAUAAAGAAUUUUAG
Long non-coding RNA from Physella acuta, 1010 nucleotides. RefSeq lists it as uncharacterized. The record is from RefSeq and is a predicted model, not a curated record. Lineage: Eukaryota; Metazoa; Mollusca; Gastropoda; Physidae.